UGGAUUAGUGGCGAACGGGUGAGUAACACGUGAGUAACCUGCCCUUAACUCUGGGAUAAGCCUGGGAAACUGGGUCUAAUACCGGAUAGGAGCGCCUACCGCAUGGUGGGUGUUGGAAAGAUUUAUCGGUUUUGGAUGGACUCGCGGCCUAUCAGCUUGUUGGUGAGGUAAUGGCUCACCAAGGCGACGACGGGUAGCCGGCCUGAGAGGGUGACCGGCCACACUGGGACUGAGACACGGCCCAGACUCCUACGGGAGGCAGCAGUGGGGAAUAUUGCACAAUGGGCGCAAGCCUGAUGCAGCGACGCCGCGUGAGGGAUGACGGCCUUCGGGUUGUAAACCUCUUUCAGUAGGGAAGAAGCGAAAGUGACGGUACCUGCAGAAGAAGCACCGGCUAACUACGUGCCAGCAGCCGCGGUAAUACGUAGGGUGCGAGCGUUAUCCGGAAUUAUUGGGCGUAAAGAGCUCGUAGGCGGUUUGUCACGUCUGUCGUGAAAGUCCGGGGCUUAACCCCGGAUCUGCGGUGGGUACGGGCAGACUAGAGUGCAGUAGGGGAGACUGGAAUUCCUGGUGUAGCGGUGGAAUGCGCAGAUAUCAGGAGGAACACCGAUGGCGAAGGCAGGUCUCUGGGCUGUAACUG
Molecule: ribosomal RNA, 640 nt
Filed under: Micrococcus luteus
Lineage: Bacteria; Bacillati; Actinomycetota; Actinomycetes; Micrococcales; Micrococcaceae
Description: bacterial SSU rRNA
Rfam family: Bacterial small subunit ribosomal RNA
Source: RNAcentral